GAUGAACGCUGGCGGCGUGCCUAAUACAUGCAAGUCGAACGCAUUGUGGUUGAAAUGAUAUGAAGAACUUGUUCAGAUUUGAUUUUCAACAUUGCAAUGAGUGGCGAACGGGUGAGUAACACGUGGGAAACCUACCUCUUAGCAGGGGAUAACAUUUGGAAACAAAUGCUAAUACCGUAUAAUAUUAAAACCGCAUGGUUUUAGUUUAAAAGAUGGUCUUGCUAUCACUAAGAGAUGGUCCCGCGGUGUAUUAGUUAGUUGGUGAGGUAAUGGCUCACCAAGACAAUGAUACAUAGCCGAGUUGAGAGACUGACCGGCCACAAUGGGACUGAGACACGGCCCAUACUCCUACGGGAGGCAGCAGUAGGAAUCUUCCACAAUGGACGAAAGUCUGAUGGAGCAACGCCGCGUGUGUGAUGAAGGGUUUCGGC
RNAcentral lists this ribosomal RNA (431 nucleotides) under uncultured bacterium. RNAcentral's name for it is "bacterial SSU rRNA". It matches the Rfam family "Bacterial small subunit ribosomal RNA", at positions 28 to 422 of the family's 1533-position model. The record is from RNAcentral.